RNAcentral lists this transfer RNA (84 nucleotides) under Lachnospiraceae bacterium. RNAcentral describes it as "tRNA-Ser". It matches the Rfam family "tRNA". From Rfam's summary of the family: Transfer RNA (tRNA) molecules are approximately 80 nucleotides in length. Their secondary structure includes four short double-helical elements and three loops (D, anti-codon, and T loops). The record is from RNAcentral. Lineage: Bacteria; Bacillati; Bacillota; Clostridia; Lachnospirales; Lachnospiraceae.
GGAGGAUUGUCCGAGUGGUUUAAGGUGCAGCUCUCGAAAAGCUGUGUGCCCCUGGCACCGAGGGUUCGAAUCCCUUGUCCUCCG